RNAcentral lists this ribosomal RNA (372 nucleotides) under uncultured organism. Its description in RNAcentral is "bacterial SSU rRNA". It matches the Rfam family "Bacterial small subunit ribosomal RNA", at positions 526 to 896 of the family's 1533-position model. The record is from RNAcentral.
CAGAGGGUGCGAGCGUUGUUCGGAAUUACUGGGCGUAAAGCGCGCGCAGGCGGCCCUUUAAGUCCGUCGGUCAAAUGCCGGGGCUCAACCCCGAGCGUGCCGAGGAUACUGGAGGGCUGGAGACACGUAGAGGCAAGCGGAAUUCCGGGUGUAGCGGUGGAAUGCGUAGAGAUCCGGGAGAACACCGGAGGCGAAGGCGGCUUGCUGGGCGUGAUCUGACGCUGAGGCGCGAAAGCGUGGGGAGCGAACAGGAUUAGAUACCCUGGUAGUCCACGCCGUAAACGAUGGGCACUAGACGCUGGUGGGAUCGACCCCUUCGGUGUCGCAGCUAACGCGAUAAGUGCCCCGCUGGGGAGUACGGCCGCAAGGCUG